RNAcentral lists this ribosomal RNA (497 nucleotides) under uncultured bacterium. Its description in RNAcentral is "partial 16S ribosomal RNA". It matches the Rfam family "Bacterial small subunit ribosomal RNA", at positions 28 to 507 of the family's 1533-position model. The record is from RNAcentral.
GAUGAACGCUGGCGGCGUGCCUAAUACAUGCAAGUCGAGCGAACGGACGAGAAGCUUGCUUCUCUGAUGUUAGCGGCGGACGGGUGAGUAACACGUGGAUAACCUACCUAUAAGACUGGGAUAACUUCGGGAAACCGGAGCUAAUACCGGAUAAUAUUUUGUACCGCAUGGUUCAAAAGUGAAAGACGGUCUUGCUGUCACUUAUAGAUGGAUCCGCGCUGCAUUAGCUAGUUGGUAAGGUAACGGCCUACCAAGGCAACGAUGCAUAGCCGACCUGAGAGGGUGAUCGGCCACACUGGAACUGAGACACGGUCCAGACUCCUACGGGAGGCAGCAGUAGGGAAUCUUCCGCAAUGGGCGAAAGCCUGACGGAGCAACGCCGCGUGAGUGAUGAAGGUCUUCGGAUCGUAAAACUCUGUUACUAGGGAAGAACAUAUGUGUAAGUAACUGUGCACAUCUUGACGGUACCUAAUCAGAAAGCCACGGCUAACUACGUG